Non-coding RNA from Parelaphostrongylus tenuis, 73 nucleotides. NCBI's taxonomy places the organism in Eukaryota, Metazoa, Nematoda, Chromadorea, Rhabditida, Metastrongylidae. The record is from the annotation of a GenBank genome assembly.
GCGUCGGUGGUGCAACGGUUUAGCACAUGCUCCUGGAAAGAGUAGGAUCUUGUGUUCAAAUUCGGCUGACGCA